This 1394-nucleotide ribosomal RNA is filed under the name Myxobolus chakravartyi. RNAcentral's name for it is "SSU rRNA". Lineage: Eukaryota; Metazoa; Cnidaria; Myxozoa; Bivalvulida; Myxobolidae. The record is from RNAcentral.
UAAAUCAGUGAUAAUCUGUUUGAUUUUCUCUCCCAUUGGAUAACCGUGGGAAAUCUAGAGCUAAUACGUGCGGUAAAUUGGCGUGUUCUCGGACRCGUCAAAGCAUUUAUUAGACUAAACCAUCUACUAUGCUUGCAUAGUAAGGGGAAUCUAGAUAACUUUGCUGAUCGUAUGGCCYUGUGCCGGCGACGUUUCAAUUGAGUUUCUGCCCUAUCAACUUGUUGGUAAGGUAUUGGCUUACCAAGGUUGCAACGGGUAACGGGGAAUCAGGGUUCGAUUCCGGAGAGGGAGCCUGAGAAACGGCUACCACAUCCAAGGAAGGCAACAGGCGCGCAAAUUACCCAAUCUAGACAGUAGGAGGUGGUGAAGAGAAUUACUAAGUGGUGGUCCAAUGGAUCACUUGUUUGGAAUGAACGUAACUUAAGAAAUUCGAUGAUAAACAACUGGAGGGCAAGUCCUGGUGCCAGCAGCCGCGGUAAUUCCAGCUCCAGUAGUUUGCUUUAAAGUUGUUGCGUUUAAAACGCUCGUAGUUGGAUCACGCAGCAGUGACGGGUAAUCUUUUGUCCGAAAACUGUGCUCCGCCUCGUCGCGUACGGGUGGGGCUGGGAUUUGGCGAUAGAUGUCAAAGCCUGGCAUUGCUAGUUGCACGUGAGAUAGGUUGUUGGCCUUUAGUGUGCCGAUAACUUGGUCUUGCGGAGUGUGCCUUGAAUAAAACAGAGUGCUUAAAGCAGGUCGUUGCCUGAAUGUUAUAGCAUGGAACGAACAAUCGUGUAUAUGUGUGCGUCUUUGUAUGGUGAUGAAUCUUUGGUUUGUUGUUGUCUUAGAUGCGCACGGCACCCACCAAAAUAUGGCUGUUGGUUCCAUAUACGGUGAUGAUUAACAGGAGCGGUUGGGGGCAUCGGUAUUUGGCCGCGAGAGGUGAAAUUCUUAGACCGGCCAAGGACUAACAAAUGCAAAGGCACUUGUCUAGACCGUUUCCAUUAAUCAAGAACGAAAGUGGGAGGUUCGAAGACGAUCAGAUACCGUCAUAGUUCCCACCGUAAACUAUGCCGACCUGGGAUCAGCUUGGAGAUGUUACAAGCUCCAAGUUGGUCCCCCUGGGAAACCUAAAGUUUUUCGGUUACGGGGAGAGUAUGGUCGCAAGGCUGAAACUUAAAGGAAUUGACGGAAGGGCACCACCAGGGGUGGAGCCUGCGGCUUAAUUUGACUCAACACGGGGAAACUUACCUGGUCCGGACAUCGAUAGGAUUAUCAGAUCAAUAGCUCUUAUAUGAUUCGAUGAGUGGUGGUGCAUGGCCGUUCUUAGUUCGUGGAGUGAUCUGUCAGCCUAAUUGCGGUAACGAACGAGACCACGUUCUCCAUUUGAGAGAUGGAAGAAGGCCAGCGGCGACCGG